UUUUAAACUCCUCAAGCAUUUUAUCAUAUAUUCAUUCAACUUUUUAAAACGGGAACAAGUGCAGAUUGUUGUGACGCCGGAUAACGUCAGGAUGACGAAUUAUACAUCAAGUAAAUGUGUACAUAUCAGGGAACGAAGGGGAGACCGGGUUCUAGUUGCGGCGGUGCAUGAACCCAUUCAAUAUUUUACUAUGUACGUCGACGAGAGUGGAGUACUAAUUACUUUGAGCAGAGAGAGGGAAAGAGAGCACGUACACAUUGCGCGGGAGGAAAUGUAUUUCCCUAACAUUGCUUGCCAGGAAACGUUUCUAUAUAUAUGGUCGACGCAGUUUGAAAUGAUUUCUUUUUCUUUUAACACACUACCUUUUGCGAAAUAUAAGGAAAACUUCGAGCGAAUGAGAGAGAGAGAGAGAGAGAGACGGCUCAUAGUUGAAAAUGAGAAUGAAGGACAGCAAAAAAAAAAAAAGAAAAAAAGGUACCUCGACAUGAGGCGAGAAAACCCAGGGUAAAAAAAAAUGGUUAAAGGACUCGCACAUGCAGAGAAACGAAUAGUUGAUUUCUGGUUUUAAUCAGUCAACGACGAGUUGCUCGAGGGCCUCCGACGUCGUCGU
Molecule: long non-coding RNA, 610 nt
Organism: Leptopilina boulardi
Lineage: Eukaryota; Metazoa; Arthropoda; Insecta; Hymenoptera; Figitidae
Exons: 3
Source: RefSeq, a predicted model, not a curated record